GUGAGGAAUAUUGCGCAAUGGAGGCAACUCUGACGCAGCCAUGCCGCGUGCAGGAAGAAGGCGCUACGCGUUGAAAACUGCUUUUAACCGGGAAGAAACCCCAGGACGUGUCCUGGGUUGACGGUACCGGAGGAAUAAGCACCGGCUAACUUCGUGCCAGCAGCCGCGGUAAUACGAAGGGUGCAAGCGUUAUCCGGAUUCAUUGGGUUUAAAGGGUGCGUAGGCGGAGCGUUAAGUCAGUGGUGAAAUCCUGCAGCUUAACUGUAGACUUGCCAUUGAUACUGGCGCUCUUGAGUGCGCUUGAAGUGGGCGGAAUGUGCCGUGUAGCGGUGAAAUGCUUAGAUAUGGCACAGAACACCAAUUGCGAAGGCAGCUCACUAAGGCGAUACUGACGCUGAGGCACGAAAGCGUGGGGAUCGAACAGGAUUAGAAACCCGUGUAGUCC
RNAcentral lists this ribosomal RNA (445 nucleotides) under uncultured bacterium. RNAcentral's name for it is "partial 16S ribosomal RNA". It matches the Rfam family "Bacterial small subunit ribosomal RNA", at positions 354 to 796 of the family's 1533-position model. The record is from RNAcentral.